AGUUUAUUAUUAUAAGUAAGUAAGUUGAAUUUCCAAUUCAAAAGUUUAAGGAUAAAUUA
Molecule: transfer RNA, 59 nt
Filed under: Paratomella rubra
Lineage: Eukaryota; Metazoa; Xenacoelomorpha; Acoela; Paratomellidae
Description: tRNA-Gly
Source: RNAcentral